This 440-nucleotide ribosomal RNA is filed under the name uncultured bacterium. RNAcentral's name for it is "partial 16S ribosomal RNA". It matches the Rfam family "Bacterial small subunit ribosomal RNA", at positions 338 to 795 of the family's 1533-position model. The record is from RNAcentral.
CCUACGGGAGGCAGCAGUGGGGAAUAUUGCACAAUGGGGGAAACCCUGAUGCAGCGACGCCGCGUGAGUGAAGAAGUAAUUCGUUAUGUAAAGCUCUAUCAGCAGGGAAGAAAAUUACGGUACCUGAGUCAGAAUCCCCGGCUAACUACGUGCCAGCAGCCGCGGUAAUACGUAGGGGGCAAGCGUUAUCCGGAUUUACUGGGUGUAAAGGGAGCGUAGACGGCUGUGCAAGUCUGGAGUGAAAGGCGGGGGCUCAACCGCCAGACUGCUCUGGAAACUGUACGGCUGGAGUGCAGAAGAGGUAAGUGGAAUUCGUAGUGUAGCGGUGAAAUGCGUAGAUAUUAGGAGGAACACCAGUGGCGAAGGCGGCUUACUAGACUGUAACUGACAUUGAGGCUCGAAAGCGUGGGGAGCAAACAGGAUUAGAUACCCGUGUAGUC